UCCUAGAUCCUGGAUCAUCGUUCUGCACCGACGCUGCCGAGUAGCGGCUCAACAAUUUCCCGCCAGCGAGACAGCAGCUAGGCGCCUCAGCGUCAUCUCGGGGCUGAAGGCAGCAGCUCGAUGUCCAGAACGUGGACAUGUACACCUUUGGAGUGUCCCUGGAAUUCUCUGUUUCUCACUUUCUCUACUCCCUCUCUCCCGUGAAUACCGCCGCCGCCCUCCACCAUUCCCGCACACGCCAGCCGCCUCUAUCUCUCGUGCAGCCCAUUCGCCGGUGUACGGCUCCCGCAACCCCAGCCGCGACGGCCCUGCCACUCUCCCCACCGACACCGUUGUGGAACCGGCCAGAUCCGUGCUCGCCCGUCACUACCGACGAAAGCAUGUCCAAGAGUACCCUCCGGCGAGCUCCAAGUUUCCAGGAGGACCAAUCCCGUUUCCAAGUAAACAUGAAAGUAUGCUGAAGGGCCUCUUUGCAUUAUAGAGAAGUGGCUGCACAGAUCUUGAUGCAAAAAUGAACGUUCAGGAUAGGACAGGGACGCCCACAUAUAUGUAGCAUGGGAUUUUCAGGGAAGAAUCCGGCCAAGACCGAGGUCACCGUAAUCCGCCAGGAAGAAGCAUCUUACACCGUAUUGCAGGGACCUUGUCACCUUGGGCAUUCUCAAUACGUUGUUGCUUGGGUUUAACAUGUUCUAGAGUGCCACUACGGUCACUCUGUAUCUCGUCGUCCUACACUUCCAAGGAUGGCUGCCGCUCCAUCGAGAAGAUGCAGAGAUGAACCAAACACCCUUUUAUGAUAUGAUUUAGAAGUAUUUUGAUUACAUAGCGGAGGAGCUCAAUAACCUACAGAAACAGAGGUACCCUAGAUGUUUAUGAGAUCUUUCGUGUUUGACAUAUGCAACACUGCCGCAUCAACUAUUUUAAUAAAUUUAGGAUUAGGAUCAUUUGUUUGGAUACGUUUUCAAUCACUGCAACGCAGAUGCAUGCUGUCAAUUUUCUAAAAAUAUGGGUGUGUUUCUGACUUCCUCCCAUAAUGGCAUAAUUAUUUAAGAUUCUUGCUUAAUUGAGGGCAAUUGUUUGACUUUUAGAGUGGUUUUAUGCAUAAUUAACGCCAUACUUAAUUUUUUCAGGAUCAUGUCUCGUGUAGAUUGAAAACCUAAAAUGACGCAAAUUCAGUCAAUGUAGCUCACAAAAAAACUUAGUAUUUGCUACGUAUUGGAUCUAUUUGCAUGGUGUUUACAAAGUUUUGGAAGGAUCCAAAAACUGGAAAUCAACAUAUCUAGAUUUUGGCAAAAUUGUGUCGGUAUAUAUGUUGCCCAAUGCUCGGAUCUAUGGAUAAUUUAUAAUUGUUAUUUUGAACCUUACCUGAUCAAUGACUCAAAUUUCAUACGAGAUAAGUCUUGUUCAUGUCUAGCUAUAUCAGUUAAGUAUGCACAUCUUACAAGUUCAGAACACUUCUUGUUGCAUUCAGUAAUCUAUGGUGCCAUAUUUACGCUUAAUGCCUUAUGACGAAUUCUUGGAAGCCAUGUCAAUUCAAGUAUAUUAAUUUACCUCAACUGUGUCACCGGAGGCAUGCAUUUACAAAGUAAUAUGGGAUUUUUAAUGAACCUUUAGAAAACUCUGAGGUGCAUACCAUGUUGCCAUUUUUGUGUUUGAGUUGCUCUCUUUUGUUUCACCUAUGCGGAUUAAAUUAACCCUUAUGUGGACAGAUCAUUCAGAAGCUUUUGGAAAUUCAUUUACUGUGGCAAAAUCUAUUCAAAGAGAAAUGUAGAAAAUAGUUCCUCUAUACAUAGUCCUAAAGGACUGAGAAGAAAGACGACGCUGAAAAGACUAAUGAAAAAUUCCUAACAUCUUCUAUGAUACUUAGCAUCAAUAAAGCAAAUAUCUGAUUUAAUCCUUUAACAUCGACCGGGAGUAAUGAUUUUCUCAUCCCAACGGACAUGUAGCAAGUGCAAGCGCCAUGAUCCAUGUCAAAUAAUAGUGCAAGACUAAUGUUGUGGAGUUCAUUUCGCUAUGCAAUCAAUGUUGACAUGUACACUAAUGACUAUUUUGAACAUCUAAUUUAGAUCUCUCUCCUUGUGAUGAAUACUCUUUACUGCCUGCCUUCAUGAGUCCACUCCCUCCUGAAGUCAUGACCCCAUGAAAAUUAAUUCCGACGGAUCUAUAGUUUGAAGGUGCAAGGCGUCAUGGAAGCGCUCCAACCAGGCUUAGUAACUUAUUUGCCUCAUCAUUUUGCCAAUCAAUAUCCAUAUAAAUAAUAGUGACUUAAGAUCAUACUUGGCAUGUAAGUUGAGCGAUGGCAUGGGAAAUAAAUCUAAGGAUCUUAGAGCUCCACCGAUUAUGUAGAUUUGUCACCAAGUACUUGUCAGUAUAUUUCUCGACAUUUGCGUUUCAAAUACUUUUCCACUUGUAAUUGCUGUCAAAAAUUUAUUGUCUGCCUUUUAACUUUAAUUUCUCAAAAAUAUUCUAGCAGAACAUAAUGAUGAUGAAAAGGAUGUUUGGACUUGGGGCAGUAAUUACAAUACCAAUAAGGUAUACAAUGAAAUUAUAGGAGCUGAGAGUGCGCCAACACCAUUUAAAUGUAUAUGGAAAUCGUGUUGUCUUUCUAGACAUAAAAUUUUCUUCUGGUUAUUGCGUCUUGACAGACUAAACACUUAUGACAUGAUGGUUCGCAAGAACUUCUUUGUUUAGUGCAGCAGUUGUGUGUUAUGUCAGGAAGGAGACGUGGAAACAAGGCCUCACUUGUUCUUUCAAUGUCAAUUCAGUCAAGAGUUUUGGUGGAUGCUAGGCAUCGAAUGGAAUGUAGAGCUACAGUUCAAUGAGAUGCUCGCAGAUGCAAAACAAAGGCGUAACUUUCCAUGUUUUAAGGAAUCCCUAAUUGUUGGCUGUUGGAGCUUAUGGAACCACAUAAACAAUCACAUAUUCGAACACACAGACAUACAAAAAACAUAUGUUUUCAGAUGUUCAAAGAGUACUUUAGACUUGUCAUGCUAAAAGCGAAGCCAGGGCUCAAGGAAGGAAUGCAACAAUGGCUGGAUAAUCUAUUUUGUCUUAGUUUUUUUCCGUAUGUAAAUAACCAUCUGUAAUUUUCCCAUUCUAUAAAUGAAAAUGGCGCA
Molecule: long non-coding RNA, 3113 nt
Organism: Lolium perenne
Lineage: Eukaryota; Viridiplantae; Streptophyta; Magnoliopsida; Poales; Poaceae
Source: RefSeq, a predicted model, not a curated record